RNAcentral lists this transfer RNA (22 nucleotides) under Cyrtodactylus intermedius. RNAcentral describes it as "tRNA-Tyr". Lineage: Eukaryota; Metazoa; Chordata; Lepidosauria; Squamata; Gekkonidae. The record is from RNAcentral.
GGUGUUGCCCGCCUCAAGACCC